RNAcentral lists this long non-coding RNA (1282 nucleotides) under Nicotiana benthamiana. Its description in RNAcentral is "long non-coding RNA (NBEN_LNC016878)". The record is from RNAcentral. Lineage: Eukaryota; Viridiplantae; Streptophyta; Magnoliopsida; Solanales; Solanaceae.
CUGGUAUAAUUAAGAGCAAACACCAUGCCAAAAAUUAUUUAUACUUUGGGCAAAUGUGUUCUACAAAUAUCUCAUAUUAUCACACACACCACGUUUUUUUUUCUUUUUUAUAUUCUUUUUUUUCAUUACAUCGGCGGAACAAUUAACAUAAAGGGGAUGUUAAGCUACUGAUGGGAUCUGAACCAUCCACCUCAACAGUAGGUAGGGAGUUUAUCAAGUGGGCUAGCCCUUAACCCCUACUACAACAACAACUAUUCAGUAUAGUCUCAUAGAGUGGAGUCUGAGGAGGGUAAUAUGCAGACGAGCAUUACCCCUACUCGAAAUGGCAGAGAAGCUGUUUCCAAUCGAGCCUUAACCCCUACUACAUAUGUUUUAUUACACAUUGCAUCGGUUUUAUAUUUGUGCACAUAGCAUAGAAUUUAAGUUAUAUACACUGAUAAUUUUUAUGUCAGCAGAAGUAGCAAUAACAUUGGCUAAUACUCCAACCAAAUCCCAAAUGACAAGCUCCAUGAAUAGCUCCCUCCCAUUUGAUGCAUUGGUUGUCACAGUCUUCAGUAACAACACAUGCCCCUUUCCAUGUUGCGCUGGGCGUUUCACAACCAAUUGCUUCUGCCUUUUGCAUUUCUGCAUUAAUAGAAUAGAAAGUAACAACUUGAGGUUUACAUUAGUUAGCGCUAGGUGUUUCACAACCAAUUGCUUCUGCCUUUUGCAUUUCUACAUCAAUAGAAUAGAAAGGAACAACUCAGAAGAGUAGAGGCGGAUCCAAAAUUUAAGCUUAUGGAUUUUUACAACAAUUUUAAAUUAAUUUACAUGAUAAUUAGACCAAUAAACUAGGUUCCAAGCUAAACAUUCUUAUAUUUUUAAUGAUUUUUUAGUACAAAUACAAAGUUUAUGAAAAAGUUACUGAAUUCACGGAAACUCAUAUCCUUUUCUCUAGAUCCGCCCCUACUCAGAGGUUUACAUUACUUCUUUUCCUAAUUAAAAAAAAUAAGUUCUUUAAUUUUUUUAAUUAUUGAUUGAGAAGUGAAAUAUAGGAUUUAAGUUAUAUACGUUGACGGUUAUUGCAGCAUGUUUUUCUACUAAGUUAUUAAGUGAUUAUUAGGACCCGAGGGUCUAUCAAGAGUAUCCUCUUUACCUUCACUAUAUAGGGACAAGGGCAUCUCAAUAAAUAUGGAGGCCUAAAGCAAAAUUUUAGAGAGAGGCCUUAUUUUUUUAAUAUAAAAGAAAAAAUUUCAACGUAAUUUCAUUUAAAUUCUAUAUUCUAGUUUUUCUUAUGCAAAGU